This 428-nucleotide ribosomal RNA is filed under the name Chloroflexota bacterium. Its description in RNAcentral is "Chloroflexi bacterium partial 16S ribosomal RNA". It matches the Rfam family "Bacterial small subunit ribosomal RNA", at positions 355 to 776 of the family's 1533-position model. The record is from RNAcentral. Lineage: Bacteria; Bacillati; Chloroflexota.
UGGGGAAUAUUGCACAAUGGGCGCAAGCCUGAUGCAGCCAUGCCGCGUGUAUGAAGAAGGCCUUCGGGUUGUAAGUACUUUCAGUCGGGAGGAAGGUGUCAAGGUUAAUAACCUUGGCAAUUGACGUUACCGACAGAAGAAGCACCGGCUAACUCCGUGCCAGCAGCCGCGGUAAUACGGAGGGUGCAAGCGUUAAUCGGAAUUACUGGGCGUAAAGCGCACGCAGGCGGUCUGUCAAGUCGGAUGUGAAAUCCCCGGGCUCAACCUGGGAACUGCAUUCGAAACUGGCAGGCUAGAGUCUUGUAGAGGGGGGUAGAAUUCCAGGUGUAGCGGUGAAAUGCGUAGAGAUCUGGAGGAAUACCGGUGGCGAAGGCGGCCCCCUGGACAAAGACUGACGCUCAGGUGCGAAAGCGUGGGGAGCAAACAGG